UACAGAGGGGGCAAGCGUUGUUCGGAAUUACUGGGCGUAAAGGGCUCGUAGGCGGCCAACUAAGUCAGACGUGAAAUCCCUCAGCUUAACUGGGGAACUGCGUCUGAUACUGGAUGGCUUGGAUCCGGAAGAGGGAUGCGGAAUUCCAGGUGUAGCGGUGAAAUGCGUAGAUAUCUGGAGGAACACCGGUGGCGAAGGCGGCAUCCUGGGCCGGUAUUGACGCUGAGGAGCGAAAGCCAGGGGAGCAAACGGG
This 253-nucleotide ribosomal RNA is filed under the name uncultured bacterium. Its description in RNAcentral is "partial 16S ribosomal RNA". It matches the Rfam family "Bacterial small subunit ribosomal RNA", at positions 524 to 776 of the family's 1533-position model. The record is from RNAcentral.